CUACGGGUGGCACCAGUGAGGAAUUUUGCGCAAUGGGGGCAACCCUGACGCAGCAACGCCGCGUGAGUGAUGAAGGCUUUCGGGUCGUAAAGCUCUGUCAAGUGGGAAGAAUAUGGUUUGGAUUAAUAAACCGAGCCAAUGGCGGUACCACUGGAGGAAGCACCGGCUAACUCCGUGCCAGCAGCCGCGGUAACACGGAGGGUGCGAGCGUUAUUCGGAAUUAUUGGGCGUAAAGGGCGCGUAGGCUGUUUUGUAAGUCAGUUGUGAAAGCCCGGGGCUCAACCCCGGAAGUGCAAUUGAACUACGAGACUUGAGUAUGGGAGAGGGAAGUGGAAUUCCUGGUGUAGCGGUGAAAUGCGUAGAUAUCAGGAGGAACACCGGUGGCGAAGGCGACUUCCUGGACCAAUACUGACGCUGAGGCGCGAAGGCGUGGGUAGCAAACAGGAUUAGAUACCCCCGUAGUC
Molecule: ribosomal RNA, 464 nt
Filed under: uncultured bacterium
Lineage: Bacteria
Description: partial 16S ribosomal RNA
Rfam family: Bacterial small subunit ribosomal RNA
Source: RNAcentral